Molecule: ribosomal RNA, 441 nt
Filed under: uncultured bacterium
Lineage: Bacteria
Description: partial 16S ribosomal RNA
Rfam family: Bacterial small subunit ribosomal RNA
Source: RNAcentral
CCUACGGGUGGCAGCAGUGGGGGAUAUUGCACAAUGGGGGGAACCCUGAUGCAGCGACGCCGCGUGGGUGAAGGAGUGCUUCGGCAUGUAAAGCCCUAUCGGCAGGGAAGAAGCAAGACGGUACCUGACUAAGAAGCCCCGGCUAACUACGUGCCAGCAGCCGCGGUAAUACGUAGGGGGCGAGCGUUAUCCGGAUUCACUGGGUGUAAAGGGAGCGUAGGCGGCCAUGCAAGCCAGGGGUGAAAGCCCGGGGCCCAACCCCGGGACUGCCCUUGGCACUGGGCGGAUAGAGUGCGGGAGGGGCAGGCGGAAUGCCUGGUGUAGCGGUGAAAUGCGUAGAUAUCAGGAGGAACACCGGCGGCGAAGGCGGCCUGCUGGACCGCGACUGACGUUGAGGCUCGAAAGCGUGGGGAGCGAACAGGAUUAGAUACCCCUGUAGUC